Molecule: ribosomal RNA, 405 nt
Filed under: uncultured Inquilinus sp.
Lineage: Bacteria; Pseudomonadati; Pseudomonadota; Alphaproteobacteria; Rhodospirillales; Rhodospirillaceae
Description: bacterial SSU rRNA
Rfam family: Bacterial small subunit ribosomal RNA
Source: RNAcentral
GUGGGGAAUAUUGGACAAUGGGGGAAACCCUGAUCCAGCCAUGCCGCGUGUGUGAUGAAGGCCUUCGGGUUGUAAAGCACUUUCGCACGUGACGAUGAUGACGGUAACGUGAGAAGAAGCCCCGGCUAACUUCGUGCCAGCAGCCGCGGUAAUACGAAGGGGGCAAGCGUUGUUCGGAAUUACUGGGCGUAAAGGGCGCGUAGGCGGUGCUCUAAGUCAGGCGUGAAAGCCCUGGGCUCAACCCGGGAAUUGCGCUUGAUACUGGAGCGCUUGAAUCCAGGAGAGGUUGGUGGAAUUCCCAGUGUAGAGGUGAAAUUCGUAGAGAUUGGGAAGAACACCGGUGGCGAAGGCGGCCAACUGGACUGGUAUUGACGCUGAGGCGCGAAAGCGUGGGGAGCAAACAGG